RNAcentral lists this ribosomal RNA (253 nucleotides) under uncultured bacterium. RNAcentral's name for it is "partial 16S ribosomal RNA". It matches the Rfam family "Bacterial small subunit ribosomal RNA", at positions 524 to 776 of the family's 1533-position model. The record is from RNAcentral.
UACAGAGGUCUCAAGCGUUGUUCGGAUUCAUUGGGCGUAAAGGGCGCGUAGGCGGCGGGGUAAGUCGGGUGUGAAAUCUCAGAGCUCAACUCUGAAAUGGCACUUGAUACUGCUCUGCUAGAGGACUGGAGAGGAGAUUGGAAUUCACGGUGUAGCAGUGAAAUGCGUAGAUAUCGUGAGGAAGACCGGUGGCGAAGGCGACCAUCUGGACGGAUACUGACGCUGAGACGCGAAAGCGUGGGUAGCAAACAGG